This 380-nucleotide ribosomal RNA is filed under the name uncultured eukaryote. Its description in RNAcentral is "partial 18S ribosomal RNA". It matches the Rfam family "Eukaryotic small subunit ribosomal RNA", at positions 592 to 976 of the family's 1831-position model. The record is from RNAcentral.
CAAUAGCGUAUAUUAAAGUUGUUGCAGUUAGAACGCUCGUAGUCGGAUUUCGGGGCGUUCCGACCGGUCUGCCGAUGGGUAUGCACUGGCCGGAGUGUCCUUUUUGCCGGAGACCGUGCCUACUCUUAACUGAGCGGGGGCGGGAGACGGCACUUUUACUUUGAAAAAAUCAGAGUGUUUCAAGCAGGCAGCUCGCUCUUGCAUGGAUUAGCAUGGGAUAAUGAAAUAGGACUUCGGUGCUAUUUUGUUGGUUUCGAACACCGAAGUAAUGAUGAGAAGGGACAGUCAGGGGCACUCGUAUUCCGCAGAGAGAGGUGAAAUUCUCAGACCCGCGGAAGACGAACCACUGCGAAAGCAUUUGCCAGGGAUGUUUUCACUGA